ACUCCUACGGGAGGCAGCAGUGGGAAGUAUUGCACAAUGGGCGCAAGCCUGAUGCAGCCAUGCCGCGUGUAUGAAGAAGGCCUUCGGGUUGUAAAGUACUUUCAGCAGUGAGGAAGGUGGGUAUGUUAAUAGCAUACUCAUUUGACGUUAGCUGCAGAAGAAGCACCGGCUAACUCCGUGCCAGCAGCCGCGGUAAUACGGAGGGUGCGAGCGUUAAUCGGAAUUACUGGGCGUAAAGCGCAUGCAGGUGGUUUGUUAAGUCAGAUGUGAAAGCCCGGGGCUCAACCUCGGAAUUGCAUUUGAAACUGGCAAACUAGAGUACUGUAGAGGGGGGUAGAAUUUCAGGUGUAGCGGUGAAAUGCGUAGAGAUCUGAAGGAAUACCGGUGGCGAAGGCGGCCCCCUGGACAGAUACUGACACUCAGAUGCGAAAGCGUGGGGAGCAAACAGGAUUAGAUACCCCUGGUAGGCGUAG
Molecule: ribosomal RNA, 473 nt
Filed under: uncultured bacterium
Lineage: Bacteria
Description: bacterial SSU rRNA
Rfam family: Bacterial small subunit ribosomal RNA
Source: RNAcentral